AGUGAGCACUCUUGUCCUUAAUGCUUUGCAGUUCCCCUCCUGGAUCAAGCAGCUGAUUUCUUCUGGCUUUAUACACACUAAGCUUAUUGUGACUUUGCAACACUGCCUGCGAUCCUUAUAUAGAUCUUAUACAGAUAUUUUGGGAAAUCUACAUGAUUCCUUCCUUGAAUUAACACUGCAGCUGGAUUGCUCAUUGAUGUCCCUGGUCUUUAACCCCAUAAACCGUUAUAUAUGAUCAUGCACAUGACCAUUUUCACCUCGGCGGUUUUCUGUGUUUGUCGCUAGUUGUGGGCAACUCGUGGUUGCAUAUUUUGACUGGAUAUCGCUCCCUCCCCUGAAGAAGCGGAAGUCCGCGAAACAUGUAGGGUCUAUGCGAUUUCCUUUUCCAGUUGCAUCCAU
Rana temporaria (common frog) is the source of this 399-nucleotide long non-coding RNA. RefSeq lists it as uncharacterized. NCBI's taxonomy places the organism in Eukaryota, Metazoa, Chordata, Amphibia, Anura, Ranidae. The transcript has 5 exons. The record is from RefSeq and is a predicted model, not a curated record.